AGUAAAGUAAGCUAAAAAAGCUUUCGGGCCCAUACCCCGAGAAUGCGGACGAAACCCCCGUCUUUACCU
RNAcentral lists this transfer RNA (69 nucleotides) under Pantodon buchholzi (freshwater butterflyfish). RNAcentral's name for it is "tRNA-Met". Lineage: Eukaryota; Metazoa; Chordata; Actinopteri; Osteoglossiformes; Pantodontidae. The record is from RNAcentral.